CAGGGGGUGAUAUUGAUCCUGGCUCAGGACGAACGCUGGCGGCGUGCCUAAUACAUGCAAGUCGAGCGCGGGAAGCAAACGGAAGCCUUCGGGUGGAAGUUUGUGGAACGAGCGGCGGACGGGUGAGUAACACGUGGGCAACCUGCCUGUAAGACUGGGAUAACUCCGGGAAACCGGGGCUAAUACCGGAUAAUACUUUUUAUCACAUGGUGAGAAGUUGAAAGGCGGCUUUUGCUGUCACUUACAGAUGGGCCCGCGGCGCAUUAGCUAGUUGGUGGGGUAAUGGCUCACCAAGGCGACGAUGCGUAGCCGACCUGAGAGGGUGAUCGGCCACACUGGGACUGAGACACGGCCCAGACUCCUACGGGAGGCAGCAGUAGGGAAUCUUCCGCAAUGGACGAAAGUCUGACGGAGCAACGCCGCGUGAGUGAUGAAGGUUUUCGGAUCGUAAAACUCUGUUGUUAGGGAACAAC
This 473-nucleotide ribosomal RNA is filed under the name Virgibacillus sp. 216-4.1-LH-Heh(s)-11. RNAcentral's name for it is "bacterial SSU rRNA". It matches the Rfam family "Bacterial small subunit ribosomal RNA", at positions 1 to 450 of the family's 1533-position model. The record is from RNAcentral. Lineage: Bacteria; Bacillati; Bacillota; Bacilli; Caryophanales; Bacillaceae.